UUUUAAGUAUAACUAUCGAUACCAGAAUUGUCAACUCAAUAUGAAAUAUUAUUUGUUACUAGAUAAAAACAAAUUGGAUAUGGUAUGUUUAUAAUUUCAGAAUUUUUCAUUGCUGCGUACCUUAAUUCAUGUCAUGUCAUAUGUCUGUCCCCACAUCGUAGUGUCAAUAUAAUACAAGACAAAUUAGAUAGAACAUGAUAGAGAGUAGGAAAU
This 213-nucleotide unclassified non-coding RNA is filed under the name Hevea brasiliensis (rubber tree). The record is from RNAcentral. Lineage: Eukaryota; Viridiplantae; Streptophyta; Magnoliopsida; Malpighiales; Euphorbiaceae.